RNAcentral lists this ribosomal RNA (498 nucleotides) under uncultured bacterium. RNAcentral's name for it is "partial 16S ribosomal RNA". It matches the Rfam family "Bacterial small subunit ribosomal RNA", at positions 28 to 507 of the family's 1533-position model. The record is from RNAcentral.
GACGACCGCUGGCGGCGUGCCUAAUACAUGCGAGUCGAGCGGACGAAUCGAAAGCUUGCUUUUGAUUCGUUAGCGGCGGACGGGUGAGUAACACGUGGGCAACCUGCCCUGUAGACGGGGAUAACACCGAGAAAUCGGUGCUAAUACCGGAUAACACGAAAUGUCGCAUGACGUUUCGUUGAAAGACGGCGCAAGCUGUCGCUACAGGAUGGGCCCGCGGCGCAUUAGCUAGUUGGUGAGGUAACGGCUCACCAAGGCGACGAUGCGUAGCCGACCUGAGAGGGUGAUCGGCCACACUGGGACUGAGACACGGCCCAGACUCCUACGGGAGGCAGCAGUAGGGAAUCUUCCGCAAUGGACGAAAGUCUGACGGAGCAACGCCGCGUGAGCGAAGAAGGCCUUCGGGUCGUAAAGCUCUGUUGUUAGGGAAGAACAAGUAACGCAGUAACUGGCGUUACCGUGACGGUACCUAACGAGAAAGCCACGGCUAACUACGUG